GGGGAUUUAGCUCAGUGGUAGAGUGCUUGCCUAGCAAGCGCAAGGCCCUGGGUUCAGUUCCCAGCUCCA
Rattus norvegicus (Norway rat) is the source of this 69-nucleotide non-coding RNA. The record is from Rfam. NCBI's taxonomy places the organism in Eukaryota, Metazoa, Chordata, Mammalia, Rodentia, Muridae.